GUACACUCCUGCGGGAGGCAGCAGUGGGGAAUAUUGCACAAUGGGCGCAAGCCUGAUGCAGCCAUGCCGCGUGUAUGAAGAAGGCCUUCGGGUUGUAAAGUACUUUCAGCGGGGAGGAAGGCGAUAAGGUUAAUAACCUUGUCGAUUGACGUUACCCGCAGAAGAAGCACCGGCUAACUCCGUGCCAGCAGCCGCGGUAAUACGGAGGGUGCAAGCGUUAAUCGGAAUUACUGGGCGUAAAGCGCACGCAGGCGGUCUGUCAAGUCGGAUGUGAAAUCCCCGGGCUCAACCUGGGAACUGCAUUCGAAACUGGCAGGCUAGAGUCUUGUAGAGGGGGGUAGAAUUCCAGGUGUAGCGGUGAAAUGCGUAGAGAUCUGGAGGAAUACCGGUGGCGAAGGCGGCCCCCUGGACAAAGACUGACGCUCAGGUGCGAAAGCGUGGGGAGCAAACAGGAUUAGAUACCCCAGUAGUCCC
RNAcentral lists this ribosomal RNA (474 nucleotides) under uncultured organism. RNAcentral describes it as "partial 16S ribosomal RNA". It matches the Rfam family "Bacterial small subunit ribosomal RNA", at positions 331 to 797 of the family's 1533-position model. The record is from RNAcentral.